This 497-nucleotide ribosomal RNA is filed under the name uncultured bacterium. RNAcentral describes it as "partial 16S ribosomal RNA". It matches the Rfam family "Bacterial small subunit ribosomal RNA", at positions 28 to 507 of the family's 1533-position model. The record is from RNAcentral.
GAUGAACGCUGGCGGCGUGCCUAAUACAUGCAAGUCGAGCGAACGGACGAGAAGCUUGCUUUUCUGAUGUUAGCGGCGGACGGGUGAGUAACACGUGGAUAACCUACCUAUAAGACUGGGAUAACUUCGGGAAACCGGAGCUAAUACCGGAUAAUAUUUUGAACCGCAUGGUUCAAAAGUGAAAGACGGUCUUGCUGUCACUUAUAGAUGGAUCCGCGCUGCAUUAGCUAGUUGGUAAGGUAACGGCUUACCAAGGCAACGAUGCAUAGCCGACCUGAGAGGGUGAUCCGCCACCCUGGAACUGAGAAACGGUCCAGACUCCUACGGGAGGCAGCAGUAGGGAAUCUUCCGCAAUGGGCGAAAGCCUGACGGAGCAACGCCGCGUGAGUGAUGAAGGUCUUCGGAUCGUAAAACUCUGUUAUUAGGGAAGAACAUAUGUGUAAGUAACUGUGCACAUCUUGACGGUACCUAAUCAGAAAGCCACGGCUAACUACGUG